This 586-nucleotide ribosomal RNA is filed under the name uncultured bacterium. RNAcentral describes it as "bacterial SSU rRNA". It matches the Rfam family "Bacterial small subunit ribosomal RNA", at positions 8 to 596 of the family's 1533-position model. The record is from RNAcentral.
AGAGUUUGAUCCUGGCUCAGAACGAACGCUGGCGGCGUGCUUAACACAUGCAAGUCGAGUGCGCGUGCCGUAGCAAUACGGUAUGGCGCACGGCGCACGGGUGCGUAACACGUGGGCAAUCUGCCCUCCGGUGGGGAAUAACCCCGCGAAAGCGGGGCUAAUUCCGCAUGACACUCCCUGGACUCCGGUUCGGGGAUUCAAAGCAGUGAUGCGCCGGAGGAGGAGCCCGCGCCCGAUUAGCUAGUUGGUGAGGUAACGGCUCACCAAGGCAAUGAUCGGUAGCUGGUCUGAGAGGAUGGCCAGCCACACUGGAACUGAGACACGGUCCAGACUCCUACGGGAGGCAGCAGUGGGGAAUCUUGCGCAAUGGGCGAAAGCCUGACGCAGCGACGCCGCGUGGGGGAUGAAGCUUCUCGGAGUGUAAACCCCUUUCGACCGGGACGAAUGCCCGCAAGGGAGUGACGGUACCGGUAGAAGAAGCCCCGGCUAACUACGUGCCAGCAGCCGCGGUAAGACGUAGGGGGCCAGCGUUGUUCGGAAUUACUGGGUGUAAAGGGUUCGUAGGCGGUGUGGCAAGUCGGGAGUG